CACCUUAUUGUGCUGCUUUUAAUUACGAAAGAUGUAAAAUGAGGCGUUAUAAAACUCGGAAGCUACUUUACACAAAUUCCAAUCUUUAAAUAUUGUUUAACAAGGGGCUGGGACUCAGGACACUGGCGGGCAGGCUGACUAGUUGCUCUGAUGGGUCCACCAUGAAGCAACGGAACCAUCUGUGCAUAAAUCAGAAGAGCCCGUGAGAGUCAGAUUGGAAAUGUCUUCAAAUACACAAAUGGUUGGAAUACACAACAUCUCAGCUCAGGUGACAGACAGUAGACUUAGGAGAAAUGAAACAGGACAAAGGAGAAUUUAUGUUGAUCUUGACAUGAUCAAGAAAAUUCUCUCCUAACACUGUCUGUCCUAAAAACCACAACCACACAGAAAGAAAAAACGGAAACAGAUAGGUUUUUAGUUCUAUGCUAUUUAACUGCUAGUAAAUGAGAGUAGUACAGCCAUAAAUUUCUUGUGACAAAACUAAAUAUUGAAAAAUAGUUUAUUUUGAAGUAUGCAGCCACUUCAGAUGCCGAGGACCACCCCUGGUUUGUUGCAAAGGCAGCAAUGAGUGCAGACUCAGCCGCUGAAGGCACGACACCUGUCCAUGGGUGGCCUGGACACCAUCUAAGCAAAGUGGAUGGUCUAAUGCCCAAAACCUUUUCACAGGACAAGACUGGACUGAUGGACUUACGGACAAACUUAGUUCAGUGCUAAACCUUACUGUCAUCAUUACAGUCCCGCCAAAAUGUCACUUUUCCUGGGAGCCUCCAUUUCCAUGUGUCACCUGGAGAAUGCCCCAGGGGCAGCGCACUUCACAGUGUAGGUCUCAGGGUCUCCAGUUGUAAGGCACAGCUGCCCUGCAGACAAAGAGAGCUGGCACCCCGACAUCGAUGAUCCCCACGGGAAAGGCACUGUGCAAGAGUGGAUUAUGCUGGGACCUCCAUUUCUCCAAAAAAAAACCCAAAAAACCCCACACCAAAAACUUCUUACUAACAGCAUCACUCCCUGUCUCAAAGGCCAGAUCAGAUUUCGGGGACCUUCGACACAGGAAAGGCAGCAAGGAGAUCUCACGUCUAAAGGGAUCUGCAAGUUGCACUGGGAAGAAGGCUUGGGGGGGAGGCCGACUCCUCUCCGAGCCAGGGCUCAGGCAAGGACUGCGGGUGGAUCUGCCGAUUCAGCAGCAGGGGUUCAGGGCUAAUGCGAAGCGAGGAGACCUGGGUCCCCCAGAGGAGGAUGGAGUGGUGUGCCAGCAGGGUAAUUUGAAAGACUGGACGUAAGGCAAUCCCUCUGAAGACAAAAGAGAAACGGGACGAGGUCUGGAGAUGUUGACAGUCAGGAUCCUGCGACAGACUCUUGCCAUAAGGCACAGAAGUAUCGGGUUCAGACCCUCCUAGCGCAGCCUGGCUUCUUUGUGGGAAAGCAGUCUAGCGACCUGCAGUGACACUCCUGGUGGCCCCAGGAAGGGCCAUGGCUGUCCAGGCAAAGGUUCGGCAUCUCUCAUCUCCCUGCAGUGUUGCUGUCCUCCCCGCCCUGUCUUCCCAUGCCUAUGCUCUGCUCCACUGCCCAGACCGCUUCCCAGAAGUGCUCUGAGGCAUCGUCCCCUCUGUUCUCUUCAAACCCACCAGUCAGGUUUCUGGUCAGGGGCUGGCCUAGCCUAAGUUGGAGGAAGCAGGCAGGGGUGGAAAUGUGGUGACACUAUUUUAUACUAAG
RNAcentral lists this long non-coding RNA (1710 nucleotides) under Equus asinus (donkey). RNAcentral's name for it is "lncRNA (ENSEASG00005029861.1)". Lineage: Eukaryota; Metazoa; Chordata; Mammalia; Perissodactyla; Equidae. The record is from RNAcentral.